UGGGGAAUAUUGCACAAUGGGCGAAAGCCUGAUGCAGCAACGCCGCGUGAGUGAUGAAGGCCUUCGGGUUGUAAAGCUCUGUCUUUUGGGACGAUAAUGACGGUACCAAAGGAGGAAGCCACGGCUAACUACGUGCCAGCAGCCGCGGUAAUACGUAGGUGGCAAGCGUUGUCCGGAUUUACUGGGCGUAAAGGAUGCGUAGGCGGAUUUUUAAGUGAGAUGUGAAAACCCUAAGCUUAACUUGGGGACUGCAUUUCAUACUGGAAAUCUAGAGUGCGGGAGAGGAGAAUGGAAUUCCUAGUGUAGCGGUGAAAUGCGUAGAGAUUAGGAAGAACACCAGUGGCGAAGGCGAUUCUCUGGACCGUAACUGACGCUGAGGCAUGAAAAGCGUGGGUAGCAAACAGGAUUAGAUACCCUGGUAGUCCACGCCGUAAACGAUGAGUACUAGGUGUAGGAGGUAUCGACCCCUUCUGUGCCGCAGUUAACACAAUAAGUACUCCGCCUGGGAAGUACGAUCGCAAGAUUAAAACUCAAAGGAAUUGACGGGGUC
RNAcentral lists this ribosomal RNA (550 nucleotides) under uncultured bacterium. Its description in RNAcentral is "partial 16S ribosomal RNA". It matches the Rfam family "Bacterial small subunit ribosomal RNA", at positions 355 to 920 of the family's 1533-position model. The record is from RNAcentral.